AUCUACGGCCAUAGAAGGUAAAAAACAUCGCAUCCCGUCCGUUCUGCGCAAUUAAGUUACCUAUCGCUCGGUUAGUACCAAGGUGGGAGACCACUUGGGAAUCCCGGGUGCUGUAGUUC
Molecule: ribosomal RNA, 119 nt
Organism: Kwoniella mangroviensis CBS 10435
Lineage: Eukaryota; Fungi; Basidiomycota; Tremellomycetes; Tremellales; Cryptococcaceae
Source: Rfam